GCUCAGUGGUUAAGAGCACUGGCUGCUUUUCCAGAGGUCCUGAGUUCAAUUCUCAG
RNAcentral lists this transfer RNA (56 nucleotides) under Mus musculus (house mouse). Lineage: Eukaryota; Metazoa; Chordata; Mammalia; Rodentia; Muridae. The record is from Rfam by way of RNAcentral.